RNAcentral lists this unclassified non-coding RNA (65 nucleotides) under Caenorhabditis briggsae. RNAcentral's name for it is "comCb2 C/D snoRNA". Lineage: Eukaryota; Metazoa; Nematoda; Chromadorea; Rhabditida; Rhabditidae. The record is from RNAcentral.
UAGUUCGAUGAAGAGAAUGUCUGCAAUUCGUACUCUGUAUGGCGACUAGUUUUAUCUGAGAACUA